UUCUAAGACAGCACUAUACAUAAGAAAGGCGGUGGUGCAUUUUAAUACGCUGUUUUUGUGAGUACUCUAAUAAGUUUUAGAUUAAUACUAGCAAUCUUACUGUAUUAAAAUGGAAUCAUAAGAAGAUUAAAUAUAACAUGUCUUACUCAAAGUGGAAUAACGCUAACAUUCUCCUUCCUUUUGGAAAGUGACAAAAGUGAGCCAAAAAGAAGACGCAGUACCUUCAAGAAUAAACAUCAAAGAAAAUGGGUUCAUGUUGACCAGUGCCUUAUUUGAGAAUAAUGACGGAUGUGAUCACAGCCUUUCCUGAGGUAGAGACGUAAUGGUGCAGAG
Molecule: long non-coding RNA, 333 nt
Filed under: Fukomys damarensis (Damara mole-rat)
Lineage: Eukaryota; Metazoa; Chordata; Mammalia; Rodentia; Bathyergidae
Description: lncRNA (ENSFDAG00000027028.1)
Source: RNAcentral